ACAGCAGUCGCCGCGGGAAUACGAAGGGUGCAAGCGUUACUCGGAAUUACUGGGCGUAAAGCGUGUGUAGGUGGUUGUUUAAGUCUGUCGUGAAAGCCCUGGGCUCAACCUGGGAAUUGCGAUGGAUACUGGGCGACUAGAGUGCGGUAGAGGAUAGUGGAAUUUCCGGUGUAGCAGUGAAAUGCGUAGAGAUCGGAAGGAACAUCUGUGGCGAAGGCGACUAUCUGGGCCAACACUGACACUGAGACACGAAAGCGUGGGGAGCAAACAGGAUUAGAUACCCGCGUAGUCCCUGUCUCUUAUAC
Molecule: ribosomal RNA, 305 nt
Filed under: uncultured bacterium
Lineage: Bacteria
Description: partial 16S ribosomal RNA
Rfam family: Bacterial small subunit ribosomal RNA
Source: RNAcentral